RNAcentral lists this unclassified non-coding RNA (201 nucleotides) under plant metagenome. Its description in RNAcentral is "partial contains small subunit ribosomal RNA, internal transcribed spacer 1, and 5.8S ribosomal RNA". The record is from RNAcentral.
UCUCCGUUGGUGAUCCAGCGGAGGGAUCAUUAUCGAGUUUAUAACUCCCAAACCCUAUGUGAACUUACCACUUGUUGCUUCGGCGCGCGCUUCGGUGCCGCCGAGGACACUUAAACUCUUUGUUUUUAUAAGCAUUUCUGAGUGACCGAAAGGCAAAAUACAAAUGAAUCAAAACUUUCAACAACGGAUCUCUUGGUUCUG